RNAcentral lists this long non-coding RNA (227 nucleotides) under Panax ginseng (ginseng). Its description in RNAcentral is "long non-coding RNA (PGIN_LNC016899)". Lineage: Eukaryota; Viridiplantae; Streptophyta; Magnoliopsida; Apiales; Araliaceae. The record is from RNAcentral.
GGCGAUUCUGUUGAUGAAGCAGUCAAUGAAGAAAGACAUGGUUGAGUCAGUCGAAGAAGCAAAUGCUCUCGCCUUAGGGGAGCAUACACACAUACUGCCAAUUAGAGAGACCUGACCUACAUUCAUUAAUCAUCUCCUAGGAAUUUCCCUUCUCAAGGUAGGUCAAAAGAGCAAGCCGAGGAAAGGAAGACUCUCUCGAAAGGUGUCUGCUCGUGGAAUAGAAAGAG